Molecule: ribosomal RNA, 253 nt
Filed under: uncultured bacterium
Lineage: Bacteria
Description: partial 16S ribosomal RNA
Rfam family: Bacterial small subunit ribosomal RNA
Source: RNAcentral
GACAGAGGGUGCAAGCGUUGUUCGGAAUCAUUGGGCGUAAAGGGCGCGUAGGCGGCUUUGUAAGUCGGAUGUGAAAUCCCAGGGCUCAACCCUGGAAGUGCAUCCGAAACUGCGAAGCUCGAAUCUCGGAGAGGGUGGUGGAAUUCCCAGUGUAGAGGUGAAAUUCGUAGAUAUUGGGAGGAACACCGGUGGCGAAGGCGACCGCCUGGACGAAGAUUGACGCUGAGGCGCGAAAGCGUGGGGAGCAAACAGG